This 782-nucleotide ribosomal RNA is filed under the name uncultured bacterium. RNAcentral describes it as "bacterial SSU rRNA". It matches the Rfam family "Bacterial small subunit ribosomal RNA", at positions 62 to 839 of the family's 1533-position model. The record is from RNAcentral.
UCGACGGCAGCACGGGAGCAAUCCUGGUGGCGAGUGGCGAACGGGUGAGUAAUGUAUCGGAACGUACCUUUCAGUGGGGGAUAACGUAGCGAAAGUUACGCUAAUACCGCAUAUUCUGUGAGCAGGAAAGCAGGGGAUCGCAAGACCUUGCGCUGAUUGAGCGGCCGAUAUCAGAUUAGCUAGUUGGUGAGGUAAAGGCUCACCAAGGCGACGAUCUGUAGCGGGUCUGAGAGGAUGAUCCGCCACACUGGAACUGAGACACGGUCCAGACUCCUACGGGAGGCAGCAGUGGGGAAUUUUGGACAAUGGGGGCAACCCUGAUCCAGCCAUGCCGCGUGAGUGAAGAAGGCCUUCGGGUUGUAAAGCUCUUUCAGCCGGGAAGAAAUCACAUGGGUUAAUACCCUGUGUGGAUGACGGUACCGGAAUAAGAAGCACCGGCUAACUACGUGCCAGCAGCCGCGGUAAUACGUAGGGUGCGAGCGUUAAUCGGAAUUACUGGGCGUAAAGCGUGCGCAGGCGGUUUGUUAAGAUAGGCGUGAAAUCCCCGGGCUCAACCUGGGAACUGCGUUUAUGACUGGCAGGCUAGAGUAUGGCAGAGGGGGGUGGAAUUCCACGUGUAGCAGUGAAAUGCGUAGAGAUGUGGAGGAACACCGAUGGCGAAGGCAGCCCCCUGGGCCAAUACUGACGCUCAUGCACGAAAGCGUGGGUAGCAAACAGGAUUAGAUACCCUGGUAGUCCACGCCCUAAACGAUGUCAACUAGGUGUUGGGUGGGUAAAACCAU